UGGGGAAUCUUGCGCAAUGGCCGAAAGCCUGACGCAGCGACGCCGCGUGGGGGAUGACGGGUUUCGGCUUGUAAACCCCUGUUGCCCGGGACGAACUUCUCCUUUCGAGGAGAUUGACGGUACCGGGUGAGGAAGCACCGGCUAACUCUGUGCCUGCAGCCGCGGUAAUACAGAGGGUGCGAGCGUUGUCCGGAAUCACUGGGCGUAAAGGGCGCGUAGGUGGCGACCCAAGUCGAUGGUGAAAGCUCGCCGCUCAACGGCGAGUCGGCCACCGAUACUGGGUUGCUGGAGCACUGUAGAGGCAGAUGGAAUUCCGGGUGUAGCGGUGGAAUGCGUAGAGAUCCGGAAGAACACCGGUGGCGAAGGCGGUCUGCUGGGCAGUUGCUGACACUGAGGCGCGACAGCGUGGGGAGCAAAC
RNAcentral lists this ribosomal RNA (418 nucleotides) under uncultured bacterium. Its description in RNAcentral is "bacterial SSU rRNA". It matches the Rfam family "Bacterial small subunit ribosomal RNA", at positions 355 to 773 of the family's 1533-position model. The record is from RNAcentral.